GCUUGCUCCCUGAUGUUAGCGGCGGACGGGUGAGUAACACGUGGGUAACCUGCCUGUAAGACUGGGAUAACUCCGGGAAACCGGGGCUAAUACCGGAUGCUUGUUUGAACCGCAUGGUUCAAACAUAAAAGGUGGCUUCGGCUACCACUUACAGAUGGACCCGCGGCGCAUUAGCUAGUUGGUGAGGUAAUGGCUCACCAAGGCAACGAUGCGUAGCCGACCUGAGAGGGUGAUCGGCCACACUGGGACUGAGACACGGCCCAGACUCCUACGGGAGGCAGCAGUAGGGAAUCUUCCGCAAUGGACGAAAGUCUGACGGAGCAACGCCGCGUGAGUGAUGAAGGUUUUCGGAUCGUAAAGCUCUGUUGUUAGGGAAGAACAAGUACCGUUCGAAUAGGGCGGUACCUUGACGGUACCUAACCAGAAAGCCACGGCUAACUACGUGCCAGCAGCCGCGGUAAUACGUAGGUGGCAAGCGUUGUCCGGAAUUAUUGGGCGUAAAGGGCUCGCAGGCGGUUUCUUAAGUCUGAUGUGAAAGCCCCCGGCUCAACCGGGGAGGGUCAUUGGAAACUGGGGAACUUGAGUGCAGAAGAGGAGAGUGGAAUUCCACGUGUAGCGGUGAAAUGCGUAGAGAUGUGGAGGAACACCAGUGGCGAAGGCGACUCUCUG
Molecule: ribosomal RNA, 669 nt
Filed under: Bacillus rugosus
Lineage: Bacteria; Bacillati; Bacillota; Bacilli; Caryophanales; Bacillaceae
Description: bacterial SSU rRNA
Rfam family: Bacterial small subunit ribosomal RNA
Source: RNAcentral